This 465-nucleotide ribosomal RNA is filed under the name uncultured bacterium. RNAcentral's name for it is "partial 16S ribosomal RNA". It matches the Rfam family "Bacterial small subunit ribosomal RNA", at positions 28 to 507 of the family's 1533-position model. The record is from RNAcentral.
GACGAACGCUGGCGGCGUGCUUAACACAUGCAAGUCGUACGGUAAGGCCCUGUCGGGGGUACACGAGUGGCGAACGGGGGCGUAACAGUUAAGUAACCUUCCCACAACUUUGGGAUAACGCUAGGAAACUGGUGCUAAUACUGGUAAUGUGCUACUGCUGCAUGGUGGGGGUUGGAAAGCUCCGGCGGGUGUUGAUGGACUCGCGGGCUAUCGGCUUGUUGGUGGGGUAGUGUGCUACCGAGGCGGCGUAGGGAAGCAGGCCUGGGGGGGUGACCGGCCACCCUGGGACUGAGGUAAGGCACAGACUCCUACGGGAGGCAGAAGUGGGGAAUCCUGCAGAAGGGGCGCAAGCCUGAUGAAGAAGCGCCGCGGGCGGGAUAACGGUCUUAGGGUUGAAAACCGCUUUCAGCAGGGACGAAGCUUUUUGUGACGGUACCUGCAGAAGAAGCACCGGCUAACUACGUG